GACGAACGCUGGCGGCGUGCUUAACACAUGCAAGUCGAGCGGUAAGGCCCUUUCGGGGGUACACGAGCGGCGAACGGGUGAGUAACACGUGGGUGACCUGCCCUCAGCUCUGGGAUAAGCCUGGGAAACCGGGUCUAAUACUGGAUAUGACUCCAUGACGCAUGUUGUGGGGUGGAAAGCCUUGUGCGGCUGAGGAUGGGCCCGCGGCCUAUCAGCUAGUUGGUGGGGUCAUGGCCCACCAAGGCAA
RNAcentral lists this ribosomal RNA (247 nucleotides) under uncultured Actinomycetes bacterium. RNAcentral's name for it is "uncultured actinobacterium partial 16S ribosomal RNA". It matches the Rfam family "Bacterial small subunit ribosomal RNA", at positions 28 to 276 of the family's 1533-position model. Lineage: Bacteria; Bacillati; Actinomycetota; Actinomycetes. The record is from RNAcentral.